UGUAAGAGCUUUUAGGUGGGAUAAAGAAGUAACAGAAAUUCAGGAGAAGAUAAACCAGUUGGUGAUUUUAAAGUAUCGAAUAGAAUUGAAGGAAUUGAAAGCUAGAAGAGGAAGCAGCAAAUUUUGGAGCUCAAAACCUAGGGUUCUUGUCUGAUUGCUGAGUAGUGAGUUCUUCUCCUUCUUCUUGAUUGUUUAUUUCUGAUUUUGAUUCAUUAAAAUGAAUCCUUGAAUCGAGGUUUCUCAAAACCCUUUGUUUAAAUUCGAAAAUUUGGGAAUUUGGUUUCACUUAACUUUGUGGAAGUUCAAUACCUUUUUGAGAAAGGUUAACAUGCUAUUUUGUUAUGGAUUAUAAGUGAAUUAAUCUAGAAAAGUAUUUACUAAGUUGCAGGUCCAGAUUUGAUUGCUACUUAGAAUUUUUAGGCAUUUCUGGGUUUCUUUAAAAUUCUGGAAUAUUGGUGUGAAAAAGGGCAUAGAAAUUUCAUCUGAUAAUGUUUUGAGCCGAAAUUGGUCUCUUUGGAUUCUACUCUGUUUUGUCCAGAUAAACUGUGUUAGGAGGUAUAGCAGUUUCUGCCUUUUUCCAGACUCAAUUUGAGUCUUCGCGCUGAUCAGUAUUGUAGUGAUGUUUCUGCACAGUCCUUAGUAAAAUGAGCAUAGAAAAUUACUUACUGACCCUUUUUAGAUGAUUCCAAAUCCUGGAGAUAGUAGAUACAUGGAUGAUUAAUUAGUAUGUUUUGGGUUUUUCCUUAUUCUUACACUUGAUGGGGUGAAACAGCCUCGCAAGUCUGACAAUGCUUUGUGACUGUAUUUCUGAACGUAUAGUCGCAGUUUGUAGUGUUAUUUUCUGAAACUUAGGUAUUUUGUUUCAGCUUUAUGAUGUUGAUCUAUAAUACCUAUCAUCAUAGAUGUUUCAUAUUUUUAUUACUUGAUAGAUAUGAGAACACUUUUGUUAUGAAAAGCUAGUUUGCGACAGUUUUGUUACAUGUGGAUAGUGACUUCAUGUUGUUGAGUUAUGGGCGACAUGAUGUUUGAAAUAAAGGGCGGUUGAUGCCUAAUAGGAAUAUUGCUGAGAUGCAAAUGUUUUAGUGCAGGUUAUGAGUAAGGGACAGAGGUCCAUUUGUGGUAGAAACAAAGGAAGCUCUGUCCGAUUUUUGGUAGAAUAGAUUAUGUAUUAUAUAUGAAUAUGGAUUGAUUGUUUGUGUAUACUCCCUGGCACACCAUGACCUCUGAUCUUUAGGUAAAUUUUAUUGGGCUUUAGGUGUGGCUCGAGACACCUCAGUUAGUGAUAGGGAACUUUUGGCGAAUACCAAAGUAUCCCAACACACCUAUGGCGAAUACCUGGGUGUGGUAAUUACCCGUCUAUGGCGAAUACCAGGACGUGGUAAGCCCACUACUCGACCUCUGGCGUAGGCGAGUGACUUUAGCGCGCAAACGCAUAGCUUGAGCCUUACUUGCGUUGUGGGACCCUAGCUCACAUCCGGGUUAGGAUGGGGACCAGUUAACAGUAGUGUACUGUAGAGGCGAAGUGACUCGUGGUGGAGACUAUGGGAGAAUAUUAUUGAUAUACUUAUGGAUGAUGUACUGUAUGUAUUGUAAUAUUAUAUUUUGUUUGAACUCUUAACAGGAGGGUAGGCCAUACUAACUAUUCUUGCAGGGUGUUGGUUUACCCUAAUUAAGCGAGAACAGGUAAAUGGAUUGCGUUAUUAUUUUUCUUGGAGUAAGGAACUAAUAUGCCUCAUUUGGGGAACUACAUGCCUUAUUCUUGUGCAUUUAAAUUAAUGAGUUUUAGACUGAAUUAUAUGCAUGCUUUUGAUAUAUGGAUUUAUUUUUGGUUUGGGUCUUAAGAUGGACUCAUUCCAGUUCGUUGAAUAACGAGCUGACCCAAGUUUGUGUUUUGUUUGCACGCUUGGGUACACCCCGGUCCGGGUGUAGGCGGAAAGCGACAACCAGAUGUGUAGAGCGCAACUGCAUGGAGCAAUGUGGACUCUUUUGUUUUUGAUGUAUAUAUCUGUAUAUAGUUGGACAUGUAUAGCGAGUGUGGGAGAUGACUCUUUUGAUGUAUACAUAAAAUUUUGGAAUCAGUGAUACUGUUAUGAUGUGUAUCUUUG
This 2105-nucleotide long non-coding RNA is filed under the name Aquilegia coerulea. Its description in RNAcentral is "long non-coding RNA (ACOE_LNC002320)". Lineage: Eukaryota; Viridiplantae; Streptophyta; Magnoliopsida; Ranunculales; Ranunculaceae. The record is from RNAcentral.